Molecule: ribosomal RNA, 366 nt
Filed under: uncultured bacterium
Lineage: Bacteria
Description: bacterial SSU rRNA
Rfam family: Bacterial small subunit ribosomal RNA
Source: RNAcentral
GACGAAAGUCUGAUCUAGCAACACCGCGUGUGCGAAGAAGGCCUAUGGGUCGUAAAGCACUUUUUGGAAGGAAUAGGAAGGAAUGUACUUCCAGAAUAAGUCUCGGCUAACUACGUGCCAGCAGCCGCGGUAACACGUAGGAGGCAAACGUUAUCCGGAUUUACUGGGCGUAAAGCGCGUGUAGGUGGUACUGUAAGUAGGGCGUGAAAGCUCCUGGCUCAACUGGGAGAGGCCGUUCUAAACUACAGAACUAGAGGAUGGUAGAGGGAGGUGGAAUUCCAGGUGUAGCGGUGGAAUGCGCAGAUAUCUGGAGGAACACCGGUGGCGAAGGCGGCCUCCUGGACCAUUCCUGACACUCAGACGCGA